GACGAACGCUGGCGGCGUGCUUAACACAUGCAAGUCGAACGGAAAGGCCCUGCUUUUGUGGGGUGCUCGAGUGGCGAACGGGUGAGUAACACGUGAGUAACCUGCCCUUGACUUUGGGAUAACUUCAGGAAACUGGGGCUAAUACCGGAUAGGAGCUCCUGCUGCAUGGUGGGGGUUGGAAAGUUUCGGCGGUGGGGGAUGGACUCGCGGCUUAUCAGCUUGUUGGUGGGGUAGUGGCUUACCAAGGCUUUGACGGGUAGCCGGCCUGAGAGGGUGACCGGCCACAUUGGGACUGAGAUACGGCCCGGACUCCUACGGGAGGCAGCAGUGGGGAAUAUUGCACAAUGGGCGGAAGCCUGAUGCAGCAACGCCGCGUGCGGGAUGACGGCCUUCGGGUUGUAAACCGCUUUCGCCUGUGACGAAGCGUGAGUGACGGUAAUGGGUAAAGAAGCACCGGCUAACUACGUG
Molecule: ribosomal RNA, 468 nt
Filed under: uncultured bacterium
Lineage: Bacteria
Description: partial 16S ribosomal RNA
Rfam family: Bacterial small subunit ribosomal RNA
Source: RNAcentral